This is a long non-coding RNA of Brassica oleracea var. oleracea, 102 nucleotides long. RefSeq lists it as uncharacterized. The record is from RefSeq and is a predicted model, not a curated record. The transcript is spliced from 2 exons. NCBI's taxonomy places the organism in Eukaryota, Viridiplantae, Streptophyta, Magnoliopsida, Brassicales, Brassicaceae.
AUGAUCCUUUGCGAAUCCUUGCUAUUCGCUUUGAUUUGGUUUUAUUCUGGAUGAAGAACUGAAACAAGCUGCUUCAAGUGAGGAAGUGAGGGUAGCUCUUGG